Long non-coding RNA from Canis lupus familiaris (dog), 1057 nucleotides. RefSeq lists it as uncharacterized. The record is from RefSeq and is a predicted model, not a curated record. The transcript is spliced from 3 exons. NCBI's taxonomy places the organism in Eukaryota, Metazoa, Chordata, Mammalia, Carnivora, Canidae.
CUGGCUCCUUGGGUGUCCCAGCCCAAGUUGUGAGCAGUUCCUCUUCUAUUUCUGCCCACUGCCCCAUCAUACACAGCAACAGGCCUUGUGUGCACAUAUGGGGGCAUCCUAAGCUGCAUAUCGAAGCUCUAUCUAUACCCCCCUCAUAAAACAUGUGCCUUUGGCACCCUUGGGGACUAUGAGUGUGUAUUCUCUUUGGGUAGCCUGUCCAUGUAAAGACUGAACCAUGAAGAGGCUGUAUAAGGCCUGAAAAAGGCUUAGGGCUGUUUGGAGGGAGAAUUCUAGGGUCUUAGGCACCCUGAGUAUGGUAUAAAAGGGAGUGCUACAGGAACCCUGUGGGCAUGUUUCCUCAGCCCAAUAGACUCCUUGGCCUAUAAAGAGGAUGUAGUCAGAGGAGGGUGAGAGUGAGGAUCUCUAAAGCAGAGAGCCUAGUGCUCUCUUCUUGCCAGGUUUAAAAUGGUAUUGUGCUGGGCAUUGAACAAUGGACCCCUCUCUAUGGAUCCUCCAAAUUCUAAGUAAACUCUACAAAAAUUACGAAAUGCCUGAGUUAUUAGAUUCCCCCCUCCACCUCAGAAACUAGAGAAUGGAUGACCUUUGUUGAUGCAGAAUGACAUAGAGGCCACAUCUGGACACACUGAGCAUCAGGAGCUAGAGGUCCCAGCUAACAAAAUGCCAUCCUGUCUCCCAGCUACUCAAGCCAGAUACCUGAGUUUUUCUUGGUGUCUCCCUGCCUCUCACUGAGCUCGGACUGGGGAACUGGCAAUAGCAGUUAACCUCUGUGGCCAGGAGAGUAUUUCCCGGAUGGCCUGGAUCCUCUUUUCAGUGUUUUACAUGGCUCUUAUUGCACAGUUUAAGGAUGUCCACUUCUUAUUUCUGGGUCUUUUUUUUAUAAAUAAAAGUGGUUCUUGUUUUUUUGCUUCAACUAUUGCUCAAAAUAGUUUGUGACUACUGAGGCCUUCUCCAUUCCCUUGUGUGAGCUUGCAUUAAUGCCUGUGCCAGGGCAACCGGACUAAUGUUUAUGGUAAGGACUCUGGACUUUCUGGGACAGAAUCCCAGC